UACGGGGGGAGCAAGCGUUGUUCGGAUUUACUGGGCGUAAAGCGCGCGUAGGCGGCUUUUCAAGUCGAUUGUGAAAUCCCCGGGCUUAACCUGGGAACUGCAGUCGAGACUGUCUAGCUAGAGUAUGGGAGAGGGAAGUGGAAUUUCAGGUGUAGCGGUGAAAUGCGUAGAUAUCUGAAGGAACACCGGUGGCGAAGGCGGCUUCCUGGACCGACACUGACGCUGAGGCGCGAAAGCUAGGGGAGCAAACGGG
RNAcentral lists this ribosomal RNA (253 nucleotides) under uncultured bacterium. RNAcentral describes it as "partial 16S ribosomal RNA". It matches the Rfam family "Bacterial small subunit ribosomal RNA", at positions 524 to 776 of the family's 1533-position model. The record is from RNAcentral.